Molecule: ribosomal RNA, 465 nt
Filed under: Vreelandella stevensii
Lineage: Bacteria; Pseudomonadati; Pseudomonadota; Gammaproteobacteria; Oceanospirillales; Halomonadaceae
Description: partial 16S ribosomal RNA
Rfam family: Bacterial small subunit ribosomal RNA
Source: RNAcentral
CCUACGGGGGGCAGCAGUGGGGAAUAUUGGACAAUGGGGGCAACCCUGAUCCAGCCAUGCCGCGUGUGUGAAGAAGGCCCUCGGGUUGUAAAGCACUUUCAGUGAGGAAGAACGCCUGGUGGUUAAUACCCAUCAGGAAAGACAUCACUCACAGAAGAAGCACCGGCUAACUCCGUGCCAGCAGCCGCGGUAAUACGGAGGGUGCGAGCGUUAAUCGGAAUUACUGGGCGUAAAGCGCGCGUAGGUGGCUUGAUAAGCCGGUUGUGAAAGCCCCGGGCUCAACCUGGGAACGGCAUCCGGAACUGUCAAGCUAGAGUCCAGGAGAGGAAGGUAGAAUUCCCGGUGUGGCGGUGAAAUGCGUAGAGUUCGGGAGGAAUACCAGUGGCGAAGGCGGCCUUCUGGACUGACACUGACACUGAGGUGCGAAAGCGUGGGUAGCAAACAGGAUUAGAUACCCUUGUAGUC